This 215-nucleotide long non-coding RNA is filed under the name Elaeis guineensis (African oil palm). RNAcentral's name for it is "long non-coding RNA (EGUI_LNC069048)". Lineage: Eukaryota; Viridiplantae; Streptophyta; Magnoliopsida; Arecales; Arecaceae. The record is from RNAcentral.
CUGCUUAUUGGGCUAUUUAGCUCAUGAUAAGUUUUAUGUUUUUCUUACAGAUCCAGAAAAUUAGCAUGAUGCGGAAUUUUGGUUGGGAGAGCGAUUAGAGAUGGAGUUAACUCAUUGAUUUAGGAUUUUUUCAGAAUUGAUUCAAGACCUUUAGUUUUGCUUUUAGUAUUGACAUUGUCAGACCGUUACUUUCUUUUGAACACUUAGUUUUGAUU